Molecule: RNA transcript, 2822 nt
Organism: Beta vulgaris subsp. vulgaris (sugar beet)
Lineage: Eukaryota; Viridiplantae; Streptophyta; Magnoliopsida; Caryophyllales; Amaranthaceae
Exons: 4
Source: RefSeq, a predicted model, not a curated record
UGUUCAUAAUAUCUAAAAGCCAUAAUAUCUAAAAGCCCAAACCCCUUUCACUUAAGCCAGUCCGAAACUGUUGCCAUACAAAAAAAACCCUAAUUUAUCCCCUCUCAUCAGUCAUCUUGCGCCUCAACGCACAAACAAUAGUAACCAUAACCAUGGCAGCGACACCACCAUCUCCAGUCCACUCAGUGCAAUGCUUCGGUCGCAAAAAAACCGCAAUCGCAGUAACCUACUGCAAGAUCAGUCGCGGUCUAAUCAUGAUCAAUUGAACCCCAAUCGAGCUAGUUCAACCGGAGAUCCUUCGCUACAAAGUGUUCGAGCCCAUCCUUUUACUUGGUCGAUCUAAAUUCAACGGUGCCGACAUGCGUAUUCGUGUGAAAGGAGGAGGUCACACUUCUCAGAUCUACGCUAUCCGACAAAGCAUCGCCAAAGCAUUGGUCGCUUACUACCAGAAAUUUGUUGACGUGGUGCUCGUGCUAGGUUCCAGAAUUCUUACCGUUUUCAUAUGCAAUGGUACAGUAAGUACUUCAAUUUUUAGUUUCUUUUGGUCAAGUGUGAUGUAAGAGAUAUCCUUGGGUGGGACAAAUUUUUAGCCAAGAGGUGCCACCAACUUCUGGCCAGCCUGUCAAAGAGCCCAUGUUCAUUCCAGUUGCAAUGGAUUUACUACCGAGAAGACAGAUGCCUACUAAGAAAAUAGAACACUUGAAGCUUUCAUUAUUUGUGCUUAAUCUUAUAGCUUCACUCUUGAAUUCAGAUUAGAUAUUGCGAUGACGAUUCCACUAUAUUUUGGGCGCUAGGUCCUGAUUUAGGAGUCAUAGUCAAACGUGUUGAGUGUUGCGGAAAAGAAAUCAAAAUGAGUAUUCCAUUUGAGGAAUUGGAUUCGGGGGAGGAAUGUCCAUUUGAAGUGGAGUUGAAGGUUCAUUAUUGCUUGAGUUAUGGAUUAAUGCAUUUCAUGAAGGUUAUAGGAAUGUCCACCUGCAAUAUUAUGCAUUUUUUGACAGAAGAUUUAAAGAAUUGGUUUCCAAUGGUGGGCCAGGUAAUGGAUGGAUUGAGCUUGUUCUCGUCGAGGCCAAGGAUCUUGUCGGUGCUGACUUCAGGGGAACAAGUGACCAUAUGUUAAAGUCCAGUAUGGAAAUGAGACGAGGAGAACAAAGGUAUUAUGCUGAAACAUGGUUUUCUUAUACCUGAAAUGGUAGCCUUAAUGUAAAUGUAGUAAUAAGUCACUGGAAAUCUGAAACUGCUUAGGAAGUUGUUGCGUUAACUGUAUGUAGCAAUAUGAGUUGCUGGCUUGCUUGUCAGUGGGCAAGGCUGGUGACAUGUUUUGACCUCCUAAAACCUGUCUUUGCCACAUUUGUUGUUGUUUGGCCAAGUUUAGAGUGUCAUGCUUUUUAAAGAUGACCCUGUUAUAUUUCCUACUUUGGUUUGCAAGUGCUCACUUUUCUCAUUUUCCGAAUAUUAAAUAUAGUGCUUAAAUUUUACUUUGGCAUAUCCAUGAAGGUUGUAUACAGGACUCUGGAUCAUAUAUGGAACCAAACGUUUGAAUUUUCCGAUGAUGGAAGUCAAUUCUAAUAUGCACUUUGUUGUUGCAAACCACCUUGAAAAGCUAAAAUCACCUGAAAAACUCAAAAUAAUGAAUGAAGAUUUUCAUUCUUUUUCCAAGAAAAUCAUAUUUUUUCUUAAAUUACCCAUUUCUAAUUCUCAACAUCACCAAAGACUUUCUAUUGAGGUUGAUUUGUGUGAUUCUAUUGCGCAGUUGAAGGAGAAUCACUACCAAAUUGAAGGUCUAAUUAUCAUAAACUUUUCCCUUUUCUUUUCCCAUUUUCUUGUUGUUUAUAUGGGUUUUUUAAUGUAUUUUUGUAAUCCUUAAUUUUGUAGUAUAAUCAUGGGAAAUUUGGAAUUAUAUAAUGAGGUUAUUUUUCUGAACUUGACGUAGCAAAAUUAUGUUAUACAUGGGGUUGGAAAAAAAAGUUCUAGUAACAAUUACAGAUAUAUUAAUUUGAUUUGCUAUCCUUUGAGAUUCGGUUCAUUUCCUAAACCAAUGGUUGAAAAUGCAUGAUCAGAAAAAUAGUGGAUCUUUUAUGAGUCAUAAUCUGAACUAAUUAAUGAAAGAAAAUGGAAAGUAUCUUAAAUGGCUAAUCUUUACAUGGAGGAUUAAUAAAGGUUUAUAAAUUUAUGAUGGAAUCAAAAUCCCUUAUGAUCUCAUCUCCCUAAAACAAAUUAGUAUGUUGAUGUUACUUUUUUUGCCUCCUAUUCUUUGUAUUUUCAAGAGUUGUAAUAUCUGAAAGAUGUUUUAUGUUAUUUAUGGUGCUAAUUAGUAAUUAAUACCUUUCACAAUUGACAAAGAAGUUUCUGUAAUCUGUACUAAAUGUGGAUAGUUGAUUUACUGGUUUUCCUAAACGUCUAUUAACAUUGUACGUGGAGAGGAUUAUUGAGUUGCAGGAUAAUAGAUAUUUACGCGAAUAUGAGCUCACAGACGGAUCUGAGAUCGAUAUUUUGAUUAAGCCAUCCUCAGUGCCUACGCCUUCUGGCAUAACGAACACAAUCUCGAACACGAGUGCAAAGAAGUUGAAAGUCAUCGUGCUAUCAAAGUGUGAAACUAAGAGGCUGAUUGUGGAUGUUAAUCCCAUGGAAAGAGUUUAGGUGCUUUUUUAAAGACAGAUUUUGUAUGUACUUCUGUUAUACUAUAAUGUUAGUGAUGAAAUAAAGGGCUGAAACUGUGCAAAUAUAAGUUUUAAGGAAUGAGCUGGAAAAGCUGCAACAUGAAAUGCAUGGAACGCUUGCAUUCAUUUGUAAAAUGUGCAGGCAGAUGCUGCUUUUGGAUUGCA